AGGGUUAGGCCUUAGGAGUUUGGUUAAGGUUAGGAUCAAGGUUAGAGUUAGGGUUCAAAUCAGAUUUUUUUACUUUAACCAGCGAUAGAGAGUGAAAUCUCAAGGGUACUGAGGUCCAACCAAACUCUUAACAGAAAGUCAGCCUACUGGUUUAUGACAAGUGUCCACUUUUCAUUUAAAAUGUGUCCUUUUGGCACAUACUUUGCCUCCAUAGUAACAGGCACACCUGCACAAUUGCACAUACACUCCCACAUGUUUCUCUGAAAUGCCCACAGAAUGCCUGUUCUGGUAGUACCAUAUCCUGUUUUUUGAGACCCUAUGACUAAGCUGAAAGCCUUAAACAACACACACACACACACACACACACGUUUCUUAGAAACGUCUCUGUUCUGGUAAACAGCAGUAGAGGGUGUAGUCACUAGUUUGAGGCAAUGUUAAAACAGACUGAAUAGUUCGAUCUGAGAUCAUUCUUUGUCUUCCUCUCCAACGAACCAGAGUUACAUCUCCUCCAACUAACCAGAGUUGCAUUGAGAACUGGAGCUGAUGAACUACAGAACACAGCUUUUCUAAGAACAUCCAGGAAGAAGAGAAGAAAAACGAAGGAGACGUCUAUGUGUCCGACAUUUUACUCAGAGAUGUUGAAGUUAGCGACGUGUAAUUGUGACACCCAAUCAGAAUUCAGCCUCUGCCUGUCCUGAGCCACUGUAACAGAUAUGGGACGAAGAAGAGGGACUCUGAAGAUUCUGUUCGUGUUGACACUCUGUCUUCAAGCCUUCACUGCUCAAUGCCAAGAUUCAGAGCAGCCCUCUGACCUCAGGAUCGUUCUGAUAGGGAAGACUGGAUCAGGGAAGAGUUCAACAGGAAACACCAUCCUGGGGAGAAAGGUGUUUAGAGAAGACCUCUCCCCUGAGUCUGUCACUGAUCACUGUGAGAAACAGAGUGGAGUGGUGGAUGGGAGGAAGACUGAUGUCAUCGACACCCCGGGGCUCUAUGACACAACAAUGUCUAAAGAAGAGAUGAAAAGUGAGAUAGAAAAGGCCAUCUACAUGUCAGUCCCAGGACCCCACGCCUUCCUGCUGGUGAUCAGACUGGGGAGGUUCACAGAGGAGGAGAGGAACACUGUGAAGUGGAUCCAGGAGAACUUUGGAGAAGAAGCCUCAAAGUACACCAUCAUUCUGUUCACCGGUGGAGACCAGCUGGAGGACAAAUCAGUGGUGGAGUUUCUAAGUGAGAGUGAGGAGCUUAUGAAACUCGUCAAGGUCUUUAAGGGCAGAAAUCAUGUCUUCAAUAAUAAAAACAAGAAUGACCACACUCAGGUCCCAGAGCUGCUGAAGAAGAUAGAUGAGAUGGUGAUGAAGAAUGGAGGACAACACUACACCAAUGAGAUGUACCAGGAGGUCCAGAGGAAGAUCAAAGAAGAGGAGGAGAGGAAGAAACAGGAGAAGAAGGAGAGAGAGGAGGAGGAGAAGAGGAAACAGGAGGAGGAGACCAGAAAACGGGUAGAGAAGGCAAGAGAGGAGGAGAGGAAGAGACAGGAGGAGAAGAAGAGAAAGGAGGAGCAGAUCAGAAAAUGGGUAGAGAAGGCAAGAGAGGAGGAGAGGAAGAGACAGGAGGAGGAGAAGAGAAAGGAGGAGAAGAAGAAACAGGAGGAGGAGAUCAGAAAACGGGUAGCGAAGGCGAGAGGGGAGGAGAGGAUGAGACAGCAGAGGACGAGGAAGUCGUCGUCAAAUGGCUUUUUGGGAUUGUUAGCAACUGUUUUCACAGCGGUGGUAGCAGGACCAUUAGCAAUUCCAGUUGGAGCUGCUGUACUUGCAAAUGAAGUAGCUGAACAUUUAGACGAUUCUGAUUAAAUGAGGACGAGGAGGCAGUGUGAAGUACCACUCUCUUCCUCAUCUUAAUGUCAAGUAGUAGCAGUUGAUUAAUACUGUACAAUGACAAUCAUCAGGGAUUGUUCAUCACUUUCUAAUAGGAUCAGUUAUUUACCAUGUUAUUAUUCAAAGGCUCAGGGAUAAUAACAUACUGUAGGAUGACAUUUAUAAUUCAACAAAAACAAACAGACAGAAAUAUCUGAAAUCGUGUUUCAUUAACUCAGAGAUAGAUAAUACGUUAGAAUGGGUAAAGACAUUCUAGGUUUCUGGAUAUCUACAGUAUUGAUGUAUCUACCCUUCUUCCCUGGUCUGUGUUCUCCCUCUAGUCUCUCUCUACCCUCCCUCCCUGGUCUGUGUUGUCCCUCUAGUCUCUCUCUACCCUCCCUCCCUGGUCUGUGUUCUCCCUCUAGCCUCUCUCUACCCUUCUUCCCUGGUCUGUGUUCUCCCUCUAGUCUCUCUCUACCCUCCCUCCCUGGUCUGUGUUCUCCCUCUAGUCUCUCUCUACCCUCCCUCCCUGGUCUGUGUUCUCCCUCUAGUCUCUCUCUACCCUCCCUCCCUGGUCUGUGUUCUCCCUCUAGUCUCUCUCUACCCUCCCUCCCUGGUCUGUGUUCUCCCUCUAGUCUCUCUCUACCCUCCCUCCCUGGUCUGUGUUCUCCCUCUAGUCUCUCUCUACCCUCCCUCCCUGGUCUGUGUUCUCCCUCUAGUCUCUCUCUACCCUCCCUCCCUGGUCUGUGUUCUCCCUCUAGUCUCUCUCUACCCUCCCUCCCUGGUCUGUGUUCUCCCUCUAGUCUCUCUCUACCCUCCCUCCCUGGUCUGUGUUCUCCCUCUAGUGUCAGAGUUAGUGUUAAACACCACAUGAUUAACACAGGGAGUAAUGUUUUAAUGUACUGUACGUCACAACUGUAUUCAUACUGUACUUCAUUACUGUAUUUCUACUGUACUUCAUUACUAUAUUUCUGCUGUACUUCAUUACUUUAUUUCUACUGUUCUUGGGAAAAGAACAUUACAUUAAAAAUUACAAAGAGGGA
Molecule: non-coding RNA, 2896 nt
Organism: Salmo salar (Atlantic salmon)
Lineage: Eukaryota; Metazoa; Chordata; Actinopteri; Salmoniformes; Salmonidae
Source: RefSeq, a predicted model, not a curated record